UUGUUGGUAAGGUAAAAGCUUACCAAGGCUUCGAUCAGUAGCUGGUCUGAGAGGACGACCAGCCACACUGGGACUGAGACACGGCCCAGACUCCUACGGGAGGCAGCAGUGGGGAAUUUUGGACAAUGGGGGCAACCCUGAUCCAGCCAUGCCGCGUGAGUGAAGAAGGCCUUCGGGUUGUAAAGCUCUUUCAGCCGGAACGAAACGGUUACGGUUAACACCCGUGACUACUGACGGUACCGGAAGAAGAAGCACCGGCUAACUACGUGCCAGCAGCCGCGGUAAUACGUAGGGUGCGAGCGUUAAUCGGAAUUACUGGGCGUAAAGCGUGCGCAGGUGGUUUUGUAAGUCAGAUGUGAAAGCCCCGGGCUCAACCUGGGAACUGCGUUUGAAACUACAAGACUAGAGUGUGGCAGAGGGGGGUGGAAUUCCGCGUGUAGCAGUGAAAUGCGUAGAGAUGUGGAGGAACACCGAUGGCGAAGGCAGCCCCCUGGGUCAACACUGACGCUCAGGCACGAAAGCAUGGGGAGCAAACAGGAUUAGAUACCCUGGUAGUCCAUGCCCUAAACGAUGUCAACUAGUUGUCGGGCCUUUACGGGCUUGGUAACGUAGCUAACGCGUGAAGUUGACCGCCUGGGGAGUACGAUCGCAAGAUUAAAACUCAAAUGAAUUGACGGGGACCCGCACAAGCGGUGGAUCAUGUGGAUUAAUUCGAUGCAACGCGAAAAACCUUACCUACCCUUGACAUGUAUCGAAGCCCGCAGAAAAGCGGGGGUGCCCGAAAGGGAACGAUAACACAGGUGCUGCAUGGCUGUCGUCAGCUCGUGUCGUGAGAUGUUGGGUUAAGUCCCGCAACGAGCGCAACCCUUGUCAUUAAUUGCCAUCAUUUAGUUGGGCACUUUAAUGAGACUGCCGG
Molecule: ribosomal RNA, 916 nt
Filed under: uncultured bacterium
Lineage: Bacteria
Description: bacterial SSU rRNA
Rfam family: Bacterial small subunit ribosomal RNA
Source: RNAcentral